RNAcentral lists this unclassified non-coding RNA (6144 nucleotides) under Hevea brasiliensis (rubber tree). Lineage: Eukaryota; Viridiplantae; Streptophyta; Magnoliopsida; Malpighiales; Euphorbiaceae. The record is from RNAcentral.
AAAAAAAAACUUCCACAGCAUAUUGAAUCUCUGACCAGCAUAAACUUAAAAAUUAUCAGAACUGAUGUUUGUUUAAUUUAACUACUACAUAUUACAAUAAAUAGAGGGAAGAUUUUGUCUGUGUCAGCCUCUAUAUUCUUUUUCUACUCUGUAAAUUGAACAUUCGCGAAUGAUAUAAAGAACAAGCAACUAUUUUCUCUAAUGCAGAAUACGAAGCAAAUUACCUACGGAAGAUAUCUCCACUGUUCAUGUUAGAUCUGUUAUGGUCUUCAAGUCCAGGCUCCAUUAGAUCAAUGAACUUCAUAUACCGAUUACGUUUCUUUGUGAACUUUUUCAUUGCUUUAUCAUGCAUUCUAUUCCACUUCUCUAUCUGGCUUACGAUUUUUUGCAAGUCUCUCUUCUUUUCUUCAAUUUUCUUCUUGAUUUCUAAACUCACUGGAGAACAAUCCAUCGCAUCAUCCAGCAUUUCAACGGGAAAACAGAUUUCAGGAUUCCCACAUCCAAGAGAAAUAAUUCCGUUCUCUCUCAAAAUUCCACCAUCAAGAGAGACAGCACCACGCUCAAUAGAAGCACGAGCCCUUACCAUAUGCUCCCUGGUUUCAUAAACUUGAAGCUCACCAAAAAGGCGAUAGAAUAAGGUCUCUCGAAGACCAUUGCCAGAUCUUGUCCUAAUACAAGAAUGAUAGAUAUCUAAGUUAAUCAUAUUAACUGCAUAGCCAAUGAAACCUGAUGCUGUAUUCCCAUUACGCAAGAGAGGAUCUGGCAAGACUAGCUUCCUUUGAGGGUCACUCUCAUCGACCUCUCCUUUGUAUGCCCUUAUAUCCUCAAGGCAAAUAACGAGAAAUCGGCCAGAUAUUGAUUUUCCAAGAGAAGCUGCUUCUGCAUGAAAAGCAACAUUGCUAUCAACUUCCCCAUUUUCCUUGUACUUCUCAAGUGAGCUGGCAGCUUCAUAGGAACCACAAACUAUAGCAAGCAUUUGAUCUUCACCUAAGUACUCCGCCAAUAUCCUGCUUAGUUUACUGCUACAAACCGUUCCAAGUAAUGCAACCAGGCCAAAUAUAUCUUGCAUGAAAAGCUUCUGGGUUUCUUGGAAUGAAAAAUUUCUAGAAAGAUGGCAGAGAGUGGCGGCUGCAGAAUGGCUCUUGCUCUUAAUCUGCUCUGUAAUUUCCUCUUUUGCGGACAGAUAGUUCACAUUAUUAAACAACUGAAGUUCUGUGGAAGCUUCAAGCUCAGAUAACCCUUGCUCAUGAUCUGCCUUCAAUUCAUUAAGCUCUUUUAGUUGAUUUUCACAAAAUCCAAUUCGCUCACCAUAUUUGAAAAUUUCUUCCUCUAGUCCCUUUUCAAGAUUCACAAUUGACUGCAUUAGAUUUCCUGCAUUAUCAAAUGAUGCUGUGUUUCCUACAUUCUUCUGCAAUGAUGAAUCCUGUAGCAAUAAUAACUUUCCGUGUGAACAUGGAGAUUGAACCUCAUCAUACUCCACAUUUCGAGCUUCUAAGACAGACACAUUGAAACUUAGACGUAGCUCUGGGUAAAAGGUGUGAGCAACAUCGAGGCAAUAGUUUCCUUCAAUUGCAGGAAGGGGAACAACAGGGACAGUGCAACGCCCAUGCCUAAAAGCAUAGCAAACACAAUCCUCUGAUUUAAAUGAAUCUGACUUUAUUGUAAGCGUAUGAGAUUGGCUGCACUUAUCUUGAUCAUGAAUAGUUUUAUCAACAUCACCCUCAGAAUUGACUACUUCAAAAACUAGAUUUUCCAGCAGAGAACCAGCAGUUAAAUAUUCCGGUACCUUUGAAGCAAUUCUCAGCUCCCUCUUGCCAAUUUGAAACUCUUGCUUGAAAACUACUUUGUUGAAAGAUGAAACAGAAAUUGACACUGCAGGGCAGUGCAUUAUAAUGUAAUUACCAUGAACUAAUACAGGCUAAAUAUUACUGACUCUGAAUUGUUAGGUUGAACUUCAUACUGUACAAAAGUAUUUGCUGUGAUUUUUCACAAACUAAGUGAAGAAUCCUAUGCCGGGCAAAUUCGACCUAUGGUAAAUAAGUCAAGCUUACCUUUUCAUCCAAGAGUAGCAAGUUUUGAGUGCUUACUUGCAAAAACAAAGCUAUCGCACGAAAAGUGUAGGAUCGAGUGCUUACUACCAUGCUAAAAGCUUAAACUAUUGGCUGAGGCACAACCCCAAUUUCUUAUAUUGUAGCAGCCUAGCCUUCGCUUUUAGGGAGUGAGCUAAGAUUGUUUUAUACCCUAAAGCUGGUAAGGGAAAUAAAAAAAUACAGAAAGAAUUUAUGGGUCGAAAGGAUCAUGGCAGGAUGCUAACCUACUGCACUAUGCUAACCUACUACACUAUCCCCAACCACUCAGUGCCAACAAUUCCCCCCAACACCUACUUAGGAUUCGAACCCAUGACUUCAUCUCUGAUACCAAUUAUAGGAUCAAGCUCUUACCACCGUGACAAAAGCUUAUGCGGUUAGUAGAGGCGCAAUUCUAACUCCUUAUAGUGUAGCAACCCAAGCGCCAUAAGCCGAAAAGGUGAUGCUGGCUCACCGAGUUAUCCUCACUCAAUGUCAACAAAAAGGUCAAACUCCAUUCAACCUAGGAAUAUUAUUAUUGACUAUGUGGUCCACAAAAGCUUGGAAUGUUAAUAAACAUAAUUUAACUAAUAAUCUAUGGUUAUAUUAUUCAAAAGAAACAGAAAACAUUCCCACUAACAACCAUUUACAUAUUGACAACAAUGGUUCAUAACAUUGGAGGCAUAACAAGGUAUGAUGUUAGGCUUUAGCAAAAUUCAAAUGCAGUGUUUUUUUUCUUUUCCCUCCUAUGUUGUUGCUUGGCUUAAAAUGACGUGGAAGGAAGUAUUAUAAAAAAAUCUACAAUUUUUUUUAACAUUGAUUAGGAAUUGGUCUCAAACAGAACUGAAUGGCAAAAGUAGAUCCGUAUAACCAACCAUAAUUAGUUUGGGAUUAAGGCUUAAAUGUUAUUGUCGUCGUAUUUUGUUGUUUGACCUAGUUUUUUCAAGAGUGUUACUGCUUUUGUUGACUCCAGGACAGUUUAAUAGUGAGAAAUAUGAAGGAAUUAAAAGUUGAUAGAUAAUAGAGACAUACCAGUUUUCCCAAACCCAGCUGUUACUUUCAGGAUACCACUAAGGUCGAUAAAUCCAUUGACAUCCACCUAGGUUGAAAAAGUUACAAAUCAACAAAAUAUAAUAUUAUAUGAAGCAUCAUCAUACUCAAAACUCAACGACUGAAGUCUUAUUUCCAACACCUGAAAUUCUUAUCAAACUGCCUUGCACGGAAAAGAAGAAUAUAGCAUCAUUCCACACACUAUGUCGAUUCUAUAUUGACAGAUGAGAAAACCCCACCCCUGUUUCCCUUGCUCUUUUCCUUUUGAAAAGCAAUAAGCAGAUAUGCAUUUUAAACUAUACAGAAACUUAUUUACAAAAAGGCAGACAUCAAAUAGAAGAUAAAUGAAGGGUUCUACACUCUGCUCUAUUCUACUUUGAAAACCAUAGAAAAAGAUAAACAAACAAAACAAGCAAUUGAAGGUUUAGCAUAUUAAAUAAGGAGGAAAGAACUAGUAUAACGUGCGGUGUAGUGAAGAAGGAUGUACCAACAGUAGACCAUUGAGCAGAUGUAGCCCUGAACCAAGUGGGAUUAAAGUUUAGUUAAAAUUGAAUGUUAGAUUUCUAUUCAAAAUCAAUGCUUUCUUAAUGACAAAACACACACACCAAAAAAAGUCUUUGAAGAUUGACAAAUGGAAAAGACCUCUCCAUUGCCUAACACCUGUUGAUGUACUCGUAAAAGGAUUCUUACACGUCUUAUUUCUUUCACAUGUAUCAUCAGCAUUCAUCAAAGACUAAAAUGUAAAUAACAAAUUCAAGAAAAAUAUAUGGAAAUCAAAUAUAUCGAACAAGCAUAAAGGCAAUUCUUCAGACAGAACAGGAAUGCAGCAUGGAUAUACCAACUAUGCUCAGUAAAACCUGACCUUACGAAAUGGACCUGUUUGAUCAAGGAUAUCAAAUCCAUCUGCAUUGAGUUGAACACCAAUAUCUUUUGCAACAUGAUUACCAUAAACAUCAAACAUCUCUAAUACCAACUCCUUAACAACAAGACCUGUAAACAAUUGGUUUUCAGGUAACGGUGAUUGUAGUAUGACAUGAUCUAAAUGUCCAGGAGUGACUUUACAUGGAACGGAAAGCGGAUCUAGCUCAUCUUGUAGGAAUAUCAGCAAAAUGGCUUCAUAACUUGGCCGUAUUUUAUCCAACUCAUUACUUUCAAUUAGUAGAUCCAUAACUUUAAGUGUCAAUUUAUCAGAUGAAAGGCUGGUCUUAACUUUGUCAAUUUGAGCAUGCAAGCCAUCAUGUAAUUUUAGUGUAACUCUUACACCUGGAAGUGAGACAAAUGGAAUCUGAUUGUCAUAUUUGUCAAAACAACCUAUUGCCAGUGGUCGAAACGUUGAGCCCACCCUCACAAUAUAUGGUUGACUCCCAUUAUUACUCAAAAGUUUCCACUUUGCAAACUUUGAAGAUGCCCUUACUACCACAUUUUUCUCACAUUCCUUACAAAUAGAACCAACAAGAGAGAACAAAAAUCUAUAAACACCCGGAUGUUGGAACAAGUUAGGAAACUUCUGACCCAGUGGAAAAAUGUAUAAGCCAUUGAAACCUUUGCGACAUGAAGGAGCAACACGUUUUGAGUACAUAUGUUCUACACUUCUGCAAUCCUUUGCUUCUCUUCUAAAACUAACUUCCAUAGACAUCUCCGAUACAUCUUUGAAAAUAUACUUUUGGUCCAAACUGUUUGAAGUGCUAGAAGCAACAUAACUGGCAGGCCGAAUAACUGCCACAAUUUCAAGCGGAGGUACUUGUCCAACAUCAAUUGUAGCAUCAAACGGUAAUGCCCCAUCAACUUCCAACUCUUGACAAUGUUUUGUGCCCAGCAAGUCAAUUGUAGAGGGCGCUCUCAAACGUCGCUUCUCAAGUUGUUUAUCCCACUCAUUCCUUUCAAUUACUAGACACUUUCCAGAAUCAACUAUACUAAAAGGCAAGGAUAAAGAGCGACGGAUUUCCAAACUUAUUGUCCCAUUGUUCAAUUCAAGCACACAGCCAUCCUCGUCUCCAACAUCAAGUGGUCUGCAUAUCAUCCGAGCAUCCCCACCAGCAUCUCCUUGAAAACCUUCAAUCAAAAAAUAUUCUAAUGUUGCAUAUACAUUGGUCUUAUACAACCCCGGACAAGCUCCCUUAAGAACUUUUAUUUUCUGACCACAUUUCCAAGAUACGCCUUUCCUCUUCAAAAUCCGAUGCACCCGUACAACAUCAGAAGAAAUCCCAAGAUCCCUUUUGUUUGUAGGACUAACAAUAAGAACUGGAUCAUCCUCACCGUAACCAACUUCUUCGUCAUAACAUUCAUGCAUUUGAAGAAUCCAAUCUUGAUACUCCUUUUCCAGUUGCAAAGGAGUUAACAAUUUACCAUUUCGAGAAAUUUCAACAUUGGUUUCUAUAAGCAUGAAAUUAGUUAAAAAAAGCAGCAAACAAAAUAAACCAAUCACUAGUUGUUUCACAUGUAUAAUUGAAAAGAAGAAAAAUUUAACCUUUUUCCUUCUCAAACAUCUUACUACCAAAGUUCUUCAAAGCGGUAGUAAAAGGAUUAUAGUGUGCUAGAUCAGUCUGCAGAACAAUAAUUUAAAUUAAUCAUAUAAAUAUGAAUGCUAGCAAUAGUAUAUCUAUGUACAUAGAGAGCGAGAGAAAACAAAAAGCAUACAAGAAAGCACUUUUCACAAGAUUUUACAACCAUAUUUUUCACUUGUAUCCUAAAAGUUACAUGCAAUUGCAUUACAAUGAUGCCCAAACAUUCUUCCUAAACCACUCACUCCCUUGAUGCAAAAUCUAUUUAUGUUUAAACUUAACAAUUUUUUAUAUGGCAUUUGUUAGGUUUAGUUUCAAAUUCCUAUAUGAUUUCAGAUUUCCAAUAGAGACUUCCUAUAGGUUUUCAACAUAUUUGGAUUCAAUUACAAGGAUUUAUUGGUUUUGGCCAAUCACUUUUAGGGUACCCUUUAUGAGCUAAAUUUUUCUUUAAAGACAAGGUGUUUUUCACUUCUAUCUUUAGCAGUGUUAAUCAUAAAGAACUAAACUUUUUUUUAAAUAAAAAUAAA